GAAGGUAUAUCCAGUGAAAUGUACCAAAAGAUUCUUAUAUACAAUAAGGGCGCAAAUCUGAAGCUUAUUUGCCAUAGGAUCUGCAAAUACAACAUAAGCCAAGUUCACCAGAACCCUACAAAAAUUCUAGAUAAUCACGGAGUCUUCAAACUUCCAGUCAUAGCAGCUAUCUUGAUCAACCAAGGCUAGUAAUCAGCCACAAGUUGUUUGGAAAUAAUCACCAUCCUUUCCUUGCUCUGUUUCUU
This 245-nucleotide unclassified non-coding RNA is filed under the name Hevea brasiliensis (rubber tree). The record is from RNAcentral. Lineage: Eukaryota; Viridiplantae; Streptophyta; Magnoliopsida; Malpighiales; Euphorbiaceae.